AUGGGCGCCCGCCCACCGGAGGAGCGACUGGAGUUGAUCGGCUGGGCGCUCAGGUAGCGAAGAUAAAUGUAAUCUUGUGGCAGGAAAUCGACAUUCUCUGCACUAUCUUUAGUUUUCCAACUGAACUUCUGAGAAAUGGAGGCUACAAUACCUAGUUUGCCAAACAGGAGAAGACUACAAUUCCCAGAAGGAACUGCGACCAACAUUGGUCCGUGCUCAUACUUUGCAUCAUGGGACUUGUAGUCAUCACCAGCUUGCGCUGAUUCUAACAGAACCUGGACAACUACCCUCAAUUGGUAACAUAUUUUGGUGAGCCAGCCAGAAGGAUCAAGUCUGUGAUACCUGAAGCCUCAGACCUGGAACCUGAAGUUUCCUUCAGCCACUACACCUGUGAACCUGUGGAAGACCUGAAGUGCCUGUUUAGAAGACAGCCAAAAGAUAACCAAUAUCAUACUGAAUGGGCAAAAACUGAAGCAUUCCCUUUGAAAACUGGCACAAGACAAGGAUGCUCUCUCUCACCACUCCUAUUCAACAUAGUGUUGGAAAUUCUGGCCAGGGCAAUCAGAAAUUACAAUUUGGGGACAGGAGGAGAGAUACAGGUGGGAAGUCACAGGAACUAAAGUCAAACUAAAGGAAAAUCUGUGGCGAGAAGGUCCAUGAAGUUCUACUGCUAAGGUCCCUGAAGUUGAUCUGGUUCCUCCCGCUUCUGGACUUUUCCUUGGACUCCAUGAGAUAAUCUAAUGUUCUUUCAAUAGUUUCACUCUUGUUGCCCAGGCUGGAGUGCAAUGGUGUGAUUUCAGCUUACUGAAACCUCCACCUCCUAGGUUCAAGAGAUUCUCCUGCCUCAGCUUCCCGAGUAGCUGGAAUUACAGCUUCAGAUCCAAAUGGUAUGCUAGCAUUCUCUUCCUAGCAGUCCACUGUCAAGACUUCACUGUUAGAAGAAGAAUCACACCAGAAUUAAGGUCAAAUGGAUUAUCUUAUUCUUAAUUGCUGAAAAUCACACCUCAUUGAAAUUUGCUUCAUAACUGAACCAUGAAUUUUUCAUCAAACAUACUUUUGUGUUUCUCCUCCUGGCAUUCUUUAUGAGGAACUUCUUUUUGGAGCUCACUGACUUCCUGUUCUAAUUUGGUCCAGUUAUUUUCUAGAAUUGCUACAUGACUGUCAUCCUGGGACAUCCUUCUGUUGGAAUCUGGGAGAGCUUACAACUUUUCAUAUCCUCUCUUCUUCUUUGUGUUUUUCACCCUGAAGUGUACAAAGUCAAAUGAAUUUCCUAGAAAAACUAGUGAGUUAAUAUUUUGAGUCCUUGUGAUAUGGGAGGGGGGCAGGGAAGUGCUGGGUAGAGAAGGGUGGGGUCCCUGGUGAGGGCUCCACUCUCAGGCCUGUGCUCAUGGACCUAAAUGAGGACAGGCAUUUCUGUUUUCAUGCCCCAAAUGUUGCCUUUUGGCCCACCAUGCGCCCCAUCCUGUACCCAUAAAAACCCAAGACUUGAGAAGGCACAGACACAAGUGGCGGGACGUCAAGAGAGCUGAAGAACACAGCAACAGACACCAGCAGACAACAUCAGGCCAUCGAUGGCUGCAUGAUGUGGAAUUUGGCUGGGGGCAGUUGGAGGAGAGUCUGGCUAUUGGGCGACCUGACUCCAGGGGAAGACUACCUUCCCACUCCAUCCCCCUUGGGGCUCCUCAUGCAUCUCACGAGAGCUACCUCCACCACUCAAUAAAACCUUGCACGCAUCCUCCAA
This 1741-nucleotide long non-coding RNA is filed under the name Homo sapiens (human). RNAcentral describes it as "long independently transcribed non-coding RNA 2235, transcript variant 7 (LINC02235)". The record is from RNAcentral. Lineage: Eukaryota; Metazoa; Chordata; Mammalia; Primates; Hominidae.